RNAcentral lists this long non-coding RNA (129 nucleotides) under Oryctolagus cuniculus (rabbit). Its description in RNAcentral is "lncRNA (ENSOCUG00000038004.1)". Lineage: Eukaryota; Metazoa; Chordata; Mammalia; Lagomorpha; Leporidae. The record is from RNAcentral.
AAGAGGAUAACUCAUCCCAGCUUUCAUAAUGAGCUCAAGUCUUACAAAUAAACAUUUGGAAGUGAUGUUGAUUAGGAAAAUUUUGGACUGAAACAUUAAUCGAGUUGCUACGGGAUCACAGCAGUAAGU